AUAUCAAUAAGCGGAGGAAAAGAAACUAACAAGGAUUCCCCUAGUAACUGCGAGUGAAGCGGGAARAGCUCAAAUUUAAAAUCUGUCAGUCUUUGGCUGUCCGAGUUGUAAUCUAGAGAAGCGUUAUCCGCGCUGGACCGUGUACAAGUCUCCUGGAAUGGAGCGUCAUAGAGGGUGAGAAUCCCGUCUUUGACACGGACUGCCAGGGCUUUGUGAUGCGCUCUCAAAGAGUCGAGUUGUUUGGGAAUGCAGCUCAAAAUGGGUGGUAAAUUCCAUCUAAAGCUAAAUAUUGGCGAGAGACCGAUAGCGAACAAGUACCGUGAGGGAAAGAUGAAAAGAACUUUGGAAAGAGAGUUAAACAGUACGUGAAAUUGCUGAAAGGGAAACGCUUGAAGUCAGUCGCGUUGUCCAGGGAUCAACCUUGCUUUUGCUUGGUGUACUUUCUGGUUGACGGGUCAGCAUCAAUUUUGACUAUUGGAAAAAGAUUAGGGGAAUGUAGCAUCUUCGGAUGUGUUAUAGCCCUUGGUUGCAUACAAUGGUUGGGAUUGAGGAACUCAGCACGCCGCAAGGCCGGGUUUUAACCACGUCCGUGCUUAGGAUGCUGGCAUAAUGGCUUUAAUCGACCCGUCUUGAAACACGGACCAAGGAGUCUAACAUGCCUGCGAGUGUUUGGGUGGAAAACCCGAGCGCGUAAUGAAAGUGAAAGUUGAGAUCCCUGUCAUGGGGAGCAUCGACGCCCGGACCAGACCUUUUGUGACGGUUCCGCGGUAGAGCAUGUAUGUUGGGACCCGAAAGAUGGUGAACUAUGCCUGAAUAGGGUGAAGCCAGAGGAAACUCUGGUGGAGGCUCGUAGCGAUUCUGACGUGCAAAUCGAUCGUCAAAUUUGGGUAUAGGGGCGAAAGACUAAUCGAACCAUCUAGUAGCUGGUUCUG
RNAcentral lists this ribosomal RNA (932 nucleotides) under Cortinarius minorisporus. RNAcentral's name for it is "eukaryotic LSU rRNA". It matches the Rfam family "Eukaryotic large subunit ribosomal RNA", at positions 40 to 959 of the family's 3401-position model. The record is from RNAcentral. Lineage: Eukaryota; Fungi; Basidiomycota; Agaricomycetes; Agaricales; Cortinariaceae.